GACGAACGCUGGCGGCGUGCUUAACACAUGCAAGUCGAACGGAAAGGCCCUGCUUUUGUGGGGUGCUCGAGUGGCGAACGGGUGAGUAACACGUGAGUAACCUGCCCUUGACUUUGGGAUAACUUCAGGAAACUGGGGCUAAUACCGGAUAGGAGCUCCUGCUGCAUGGUGGGGGUUGGAAAGUUUCGGCGGUUGGGGAUGGACUCGCGGCUUAUCAGCUUGUUGGUGGGGUAGUGGCUUACCAAGGCUUUGACGGGUAGCCGGCCUGAGGGGGUGACCGGCCACAUUGGGACGGAGAUGCGGCCCAGCCUCCUACGGGAGGCAGCAGUGGAGAAUAUUGUACAAUGGGCUGAAGCCUGAUGCAGCACCGCCGCGUGCGGGAUGUCGGCCUUCGGGUUGUAAACCGCUUUCGCCUGUGACGAAGCGUGAGUGACGGUAAUGGGUAAAGAAGCCCCGGCUAACUACGUG
Molecule: ribosomal RNA, 468 nt
Filed under: uncultured bacterium
Lineage: Bacteria
Description: partial 16S ribosomal RNA
Rfam family: Bacterial small subunit ribosomal RNA
Source: RNAcentral